GACGAACGCUGGCGGCGUGCUUAACACAUGCAAGUCGAACGGAAAGGCCCUGCUUUUGUGGGGUGCUCGAGUGGCGAACGGGUGAGUAACACGUGAGUAACCUGCCCUUGACUUUGGGAUAACUUCUGGAAACUGGGGCUAAUACCGGAUAGGAGCUCCUGCUGCAUGGUGGGGGUUGGAAAGUUUCGGCGGUUGGGGAUGGACUCGCGGCUUAUCAGCUUGUUGGUGGGGUAGUGGCUUACCAAGGCUUUGACGGGUAGCCGGCCUGAGAGGGUGACCGGCCACAUUGGGACUGAGAUACGGCCCAGACUCCUACGGGAGGCAGCAGUGGGGAAUAUUGCACAAUGGGCGGAAGCCUGAUGCAGCAACGCCGCGUGCGGGAUGACGGCCUUCGGGUUGUAAACCGCUUUUGCCUGUGACGAAGCGUGAGUAACGGUAAUGGGUAAAGAAGCACCGGCUAACUACGUG
RNAcentral lists this ribosomal RNA (468 nucleotides) under uncultured bacterium. RNAcentral describes it as "partial 16S ribosomal RNA". It matches the Rfam family "Bacterial small subunit ribosomal RNA", at positions 28 to 507 of the family's 1533-position model. The record is from RNAcentral.